Molecule: ribosomal RNA, 493 nt
Filed under: uncultured bacterium
Lineage: Bacteria
Description: partial 16S ribosomal RNA
Rfam family: Bacterial small subunit ribosomal RNA
Source: RNAcentral
AUUGAACGCUGGCGGCAUGCUUUACACAUGCAAGUCGAACGGUAACAGGUUAAGCUGACGAGUGGCGAACGGGUGAGUAAUGCAUCGGAACGUGCCCGAUCGUGGGGGAUAACGCAGCGAAAGCUGCGCUAAUACCGCAUACGAUCUGAGGAUGAAAGCGGGGGACCGUAAGGCCUCGCGCGAUCGGAGCGGCCGAUGUCAGAUUAGGUAGUUGGUGGGGUAAAGGCUCACCAAGCCGACGAUCUGUAGCUGGUCUGAGAGGACGACCAGCCACACUGGGACUGAGACACGGCCCGGACGCCUACGGGAGGCAGCAGUGGGGAAUUUUGGACAAUGGGCGCAAGCCUGAUCCAGCAAUGCCGCGUGCAGGAAGAAGGCCUUCGGGUUGUAAACUGCUUUUGUACGGAGCGAAAAGGCUCUCUCUAAUACAGGGGGCUCAUGACGGUACCGUAAGAAUAAGCACCGGCUAACUACGUGCCAGCCGCCGCAGUAA